This 207-nucleotide unclassified non-coding RNA is filed under the name Hevea brasiliensis (rubber tree). Lineage: Eukaryota; Viridiplantae; Streptophyta; Magnoliopsida; Malpighiales; Euphorbiaceae. The record is from RNAcentral.
GGGGAGGGUAUUUGGUGGAUUUGAUGCUUUUGUCAAUUGCUUUGUCUACGAAGGGAAGAUUCAAGAACUGCUAUGUACAACUGAACAGGAGUAUAAAAAGACGAUAAAGAUUAAUGUUAUGGCACCAUGGUUUCUCUUAAAUGCUGUUGCUAAAAUGAUGAGGGAUACAAAAUCUGGUGGUUCUAUUAUAUUCGUGACAUCAAUUAU